CCAAGGAGUCUAACAUGUGCGCGAGUCAAUGGGGAUCUCUCGAGACCCACGGGCGCAAUGAAAGUGAAGGUGGCGGCUUGUCCUCACCGAGGCGGGAUCCGUCCGGACGGUGGGCGGGGGCGUCGCGUUUCGGCGAGGCGUCCUUUAGCUCCCGGGGGGUUGUUUACUCUGACCCCCUUCUUAACCAAAGAAUCCGGCGGCGCACCGCCGGCCCGUCGCAAACGCAACGCCGUUGCGGCGGAGCAAGAGCGUACACGUUGGGACCCGAAAGAUGGUGAUCUAUGCCCGGGCAGGACGAAGCCAGAGGAAACUCUGGUGGAGGUCCGUAGCGAUUCUGACGUGCAAAUCGAUCGUCGGACCUGGGUAUAGGGGCGAAAGACUAAUCGAACCGUCUA
RNAcentral lists this ribosomal RNA (395 nucleotides) under Paralamyctes sp. GG-2003. RNAcentral describes it as "eukaryotic LSU rRNA". It matches the Rfam family "Eukaryotic large subunit ribosomal RNA", at positions 666 to 946 of the family's 3401-position model. The record is from RNAcentral. Lineage: Eukaryota; Metazoa; Arthropoda; Chilopoda; Lithobiomorpha; Henicopidae.